This 520-nucleotide ribosomal RNA is filed under the name uncultured bacterium. Its description in RNAcentral is "bacterial SSU rRNA". It matches the Rfam family "Bacterial small subunit ribosomal RNA", at positions 29 to 526 of the family's 1533-position model. The record is from RNAcentral.
AACGAACGCUGGCGGCGUGGUUGAUACAUGCAAGUCGAACGGGAAACAGUCCUUCGGGGCUGGAGUACAGUGGCGGACGGGUGAGUAACGUAUGAUCAAUCUGCCCUCAAGACUAGGAUAGCCGUCCGAAAGGACGGGUAAUACUGGAUAAGCCCACAACGAGGCAUCUCGCAGUGGGAAAAGGAUUGGGAUCUUCGGACCUUUCGCUUGAGGAUGAGAUCAUAACCUAUCAGUUAGUUGGCGGGGUAACGGCCCACCAAGACGACGACGGGUAGCCGGCCUGAGAGGGUGGACGGCCACACUGGAACUGAGACACGGUCCAGACUCCUACGGGAGGCAGCAGUGCUGAAUUAUUCGCCAAUGCGCGAAAGCGUGACGGUGCGACGCCGCGUGCGGGACGAAGGCCUUCGGGUUGUAAACCGCUGUCAGGGAUUAGAAAACCGGUGCAGUUAACAGCUGUAUCGCUGAUCAGUCCCAAAGGAAGCACAGGCUAAUCUCGUGCCAGCCGCCGCGGUAACAC